UCCUAGCAGUGGUAUCAGAGCCUCCCUUGGCUCGUUUUAAUGCAAAGGUACGUCUUGUUAUUGUUAAUUUCAAUUCUGAUUGGAUGUGAGGGAUUUGGAAGAGAGCAAGUAAGUGUUAAAUUUUGUUUAUGUUUUAAAGUAGUUUAUCACAUAUUUGAGUUUUGAUUUUUAAUACUUAUUUGUUUCUACAACUAAUCUUGUUUAAGUUUCUCAAUUUUGCAGAACAAUAUGUGCAUGAGAUGCACAAAAGAGUUUAGCAAGAAAAGGAUUCGAAUUCAUGGGAAACAAGAUGCGGUUUGGUGAUAGAAUUCGAUUCUGUCUAGAUUUGCAUGUGGUUGGCUUUUCAGUUUUUAACAGGGG
RNAcentral lists this long non-coding RNA (360 nucleotides) under Theobroma cacao (cacao). RNAcentral describes it as "long non-coding RNA (TCAC_LNC004950)". Lineage: Eukaryota; Viridiplantae; Streptophyta; Magnoliopsida; Malvales; Malvaceae. The record is from RNAcentral.